This 492-nucleotide ribosomal RNA is filed under the name uncultured bacterium. Its description in RNAcentral is "partial 16S ribosomal RNA". It matches the Rfam family "Bacterial small subunit ribosomal RNA", at positions 29 to 507 of the family's 1533-position model. The record is from RNAcentral.
AGUGAACGCUGGCGGUAGGCCUAACACAUGCAAGUCGAACGGCAGCACAGUAAGAGCUUGCUCUUACGGGUGGCGAGUGGCGGACGGGUGAGGAAUACAUCGGAAUCUACUUUUUCGUGGGGGAUAACGUAGGGAAACUUACGCUAAUACCGCGUACGACCUACGGGUGAAAGCAGGGGAUCUUCGGACCCUGCGCGAUUGAAUGAGCCGAUGUCGGAUUAGCUAGUUGGCGGGGUAAAGGCCCACCAAGGCGACGAUCCGUAGCUGGUCUGAGAGGAUGAUCAGCCACACUGGAACUGAGACACGGUCCAGACUCCUACGGGAGGCAGCAGUGGGGAAUAUUGGACAAUGGGCGCAAGCCUGAUCCAGCCAUACCGCGUGGGUGAAGAAGGCCUUCGGGUUGUAAAGCCCUUUUGUUGGGAAAGAAAAGCAGCAGGUUAAUACCCCGCUGUUCUGACGGUACCCAAAGAAUAAGCACCGGCUAACUUCGUG